This is a long non-coding RNA of Zalophus californianus (California sea lion), 676 nucleotides long. RefSeq lists it as uncharacterized. Lineage: Eukaryota; Metazoa; Chordata; Mammalia; Carnivora; Otariidae. The transcript has 4 exons. The record is from RefSeq and is a predicted model, not a curated record.
GAGGGGGUGGAAGAAGUGGAGGAGUGAGACAGUAAUCACAUGCUUUAGCAUAUCCCAUGGGAACAGCUGGGCCCGGGAGCUGCAAGCCAGAGGGCUUCAUUUGCUGGGUCUCUGCAAAGCAACCAGUGGCCAUGUCAUGAAGAUCCUCAGGAAGCCCAUGGAAAUGCCUGUAUGGGAAGGAAUUGAGGCCUCCUGGAAAAAGCAAGCAUCAACUUUCAGGCAUGUGAGCGAGCCACAUUGGAUGUGGAUCGUCCAGCCUCAGUCAAGCCUUCAGAUGACGCCCCAGCUGACAUUGGACUGCAACCCUAUGAGAGACUAUGAGCUAGAACUACUUAGCUGGACUGCUACCAAGUUCCUGACCCACAUAAACUAUUAUAAGUGACUUGCAAGGUGAAUGGCGAGGUAGGACGGGAACUGAGACCACAGGACUCCCCAGCUGGUGCUCCCAAUAGCAGCCCUGCCCAGCCCCUCCACGCCCUGCUCCAACCCUGCAGACGUGACCAACGCCUCUGCUGCCACCACCAGGAUGUCCGCCAGGACCGCAGGCAAAGGCAGACCCCCCCUGGGAAGAAACUCUAGAAACAGAAGCUAAAGCAUGCACCCCAGCGCCAGACGGGAAAGAAGAGGCUGAAGGUGAGGCCACGUCAGGAGGGUGAAAUCUUUAGCACGCCUGUGG